AUUGAACGCUGGCGGCAUGCUUUACACAUGCAAGUCGAACGGCAGCACGGGCUUCGGCCUGGCGGCGAGUGGCGAACGGGUGAGUAAUACAUCGGAACGUGCCCAGUAGUGGGGGAUAGCUCGGCGAAAGCCGGAUUAAUACCGCAUACGACCUGAGGGUGAAAGCGGGGGAUCUUCGGACCUCGCGCUAUUGGAGCGGCCGAUGGCAGAUUAGCUAGUUGGUGGGGUAAAGGCCUACCAAGGCGACGAUCUGUAGCUGGUCUGAGAGGACGACCAGCCACACUGGGACUGAGACACGGCCCAGACUCCUACGGGAGGCAGCAGUGGGGAAUUUUGGACAAUGGGCGAAAGCCUGAUCCAGCAAUGCCGCGUGUGUGAUGAAGGCCUUCGGGUUGUAAAGCACUUUUGGCGGGAACGAAAAGGACUGUGCCAAUACCACGGUUCGAUGACGGUACCCGCAGAAUAAGCACCGGCUAACUACGUG
This 484-nucleotide ribosomal RNA is filed under the name uncultured bacterium. Its description in RNAcentral is "partial 16S ribosomal RNA". It matches the Rfam family "Bacterial small subunit ribosomal RNA", at positions 29 to 507 of the family's 1533-position model. The record is from RNAcentral.